This 400-nucleotide ribosomal RNA is filed under the name uncultured eukaryote. Its description in RNAcentral is "SSU rRNA". It matches the Rfam family "Eukaryotic small subunit ribosomal RNA", at positions 587 to 972 of the family's 1831-position model. The record is from RNAcentral.
AGCUCCAAUAGCGUAUCUUAAAGUUGCUGCAGUUAAAAAGCUCGUAGUUGGAUCUCGGGACGCGAGCUGACGGUCCGCCGCGAGGCGUGCCUACCGUCUGUCCCGGCCCCUGCCUCUCGGCCAGCCCCCGGGAUGCCCUUGGCUGGGUGUCCCGCCCGGGGCCCGAAGCGUUUACUUUGAGAAAAUUGGAGUGUUCAAAGCAGGCCCGCAGCCGCCCCUGCACAGCGCAGCUAGGAAUGAUGGAAUAGGACCCCGGUUCUAUUUUGUGGGUUUUCCCUCCUGAACUGGGGCCAUGAUUGAGAGGGACGGCCGGGGGCAUUCGUAUUGUGCCGCUAGAGGUGAAAUUCUUGGACCGGCGCAAGACGGACCAGAGCGAAAGCAUUUGCCAAGAAUGUUUUCA